CUUUUGAGUUACAGGAUGGAAAGAACUCAGUGGCUAUUCUGAUACCACAGUAGCAGCAAAAAUGGCACCUAUGAGAUCUUGUACCUUCCAGGUAUCUCUGACCUCUUCAAGAAAGAGGUGAUGGAAAAAUAUCCACCCAGGAAGGCAUUAGGUUGACCCCCUCUACUUUUAUAGUUCUUGAACUGUGUACAAGAGAUGGGUGACUAAUAACUGAACUGCAAUGGAGUUGGCUUUACCAUUUGAGUCUCUUUCUCAGUCUUCAUCAGGGUUGCGAAGACUUGGAGUAAAAAACAAAGAGGAGAGAGUGAAUGCUGUUAUGGAAACUGGACUGUCUUACUGAGCUGAAUGGAUUUUGAACUGUGUACAAGAGACAGGUGACUAAACUCUGACCUGCAAUGGAGGUGGCCUCACCCAUAAAGUCUCUUCCUUAGUUUUGAUCUGGAAUGCUAAGACUUGGUCCACCAAAAACAAAGGAGAAGAGUGUGAAAAGUUUUUCAGAAACUUGACCAUCUUGCUACACUAAAUGCAUUUUGAACUGUUUGCAGAAGAUGGGUGACUAAUUACUGACCUACAAUGGAACUGACCUCACCCAUAAAAUCUCCUCAGUCCUGAUCUAGAAUGUUAAGACUUGGUCCACCAAAAAAGAGGAAAAGUGUGUGAAAACCAUUUUGGAAACAGGACUGUCUUGCUGUACUGAACGGAUCUUGAACUGUAUACAAGAGAUAGGUGACCAAUAGCCGACCUCUAAUGGAGUUGGCUCCACCCACAAAGUCUCUUCUUCAGUCUUGAUCUCGGUUCCUAAGACUUGGUCCACCAAAAAAACAAAGAGAAGUGUGUGAAAACUGUUUUGGAAACUGGACUGUCUUGCUGUGCUGAUCGGAUCCUGAACAGUGUACAAGAGAUGGGUGACUAAUAACUGACCCGCAUUGGAUUCGGCUUCAUCCAUUAAGUGUCUUCCUCAGUCUUGACCUGGAAUGCUAAGACUUGGUCCACCCCCAAUAAAAGGAAUAGAGUGUGAAAACUAUUUCGGAAACAGGACUGUCUUGCUGCGCCUAACAGAUCUUGAACUGUGUAUAAGAGAUGGGUGACUAAUAGCUGACACACAAUGGAGUUGGCUUCACCCACAAAGUCUCUUCCUCAGUCUUGAUCUCUGGCAUGCUAAGACUUGGUCCACAAAAAAAAGUAAGAGAAGAGUGUGAAAGCUGUUUCGGAAACAGGACUGUCUUGCUGUGCUGAACAGAUCUUGCGUUUUGUACAAGAGACGGGUGACUAACAGCCGACCAGCAAUGACAUCGGCUUCACCCAUAACGUCUCUUCCUCAGUUUUGAUCUGGAAUGGUAAGACUUGGUCCACUAAAAGAAACAAAGAGAAGAGUGUGAAAACUAUUUCGGAACCUAGACUGUCUUGCUACGCUGAAUGGAUCUUGAACUGUGUACCAGAGACGGGUGAGGUCUUGCUGACGGCUGAAUCUUGCUGCGCUGAAUGGAUUUUGAACCGUGUAUCAGAGACCUGUGACUAGUAGCUGACUUAUAAUGGAGUCUGCCUGACCUGUGAAGCCACUUCCUCAGUCUUGAUCGGAUCUUGGACUUUUUAUAAGAGACCAAGACCUUGAGUACUUGAUUAUUCCUAGUCUGUGGAGCAGGGUUCAGAUAUCAUGUUGGAUUGCACUGGUCAGUGAAGAAGAAGUGUAGUGCAGUGUAUCUCAUGAUUGUAUUCUUCGACCACCCAAAGCUGGAUACCAAGGUGUGAACGCAAUCAGCAAGAGACCAGAGACAAAUAUCAAUCUUCGAAAGAAGCUAAAUCGGAUCGACCCCUAAUUCAGAGAAUAAAAUGAAAAAUUGGGGUUUGAUCCAUUCACCGUCCCCCCAACAAACCCGCCCCAUUAGACAGUUUACAACAGAGUACUCCGAAAACUUAACCAGGGUUUGAUCCGUCCACCGUCCCCCAACAAACGCACCUCCAUUAGACAGUUUACGAUAGAUUUCUAUCUACUCUGGAAAAUUCCCACACCCGUCAAUUUUAGUAAGUACGUUGUGCUGUACAUCUUUUAAAACAGUCAACUAAUAAUACAAUACAGUAUUACAAUACAAUCUUUUAUUAGACAUGUACAUAACACUGGUAGUAUUACAAUCUUCCUCCUACAAUCUAAUAAUACAGUAAUUUUACAAUAAUAUAUAAUUCAUACCACUAGUAAUAUUAUAAUCUUCCUCUUACAAUCUCAUAAUACUAAAAUAAUUUUAGACGGUGUUAUUUUUCUCCAACCAACCUCCCCUACUACACCCACCCUUCAGAGAAAUUUAUUAAGUCUUUCAAUAACUUGUCUACUUUGUGGUACAAACAUUUUUAAAAAUGAAUCUUAAUUGUAAACAAAUGUCUGUCUCAAAACACAUGCGUAUUACGAGAAAUAUUCAGCUGUUUUCAGA
RNAcentral lists this long non-coding RNA (2423 nucleotides) under Stylophora pistillata. RNAcentral's name for it is "uncharacterized LOC111335187". Lineage: Eukaryota; Metazoa; Cnidaria; Anthozoa; Scleractinia; Pocilloporidae. The record is from RNAcentral.